Long non-coding RNA from Dromaius novaehollandiae (emu), 2168 nucleotides. RefSeq lists it as uncharacterized. Lineage: Eukaryota; Metazoa; Chordata; Aves; Casuariiformes; Dromaiidae. The transcript is spliced from 4 exons. The record is from RefSeq and is a predicted model, not a curated record.
CCCCCCCCCGCGGUGGAGUCAAGCGCGGGCCGCAGCCUCCCCCCUCCCCCGCAUUCCGGGUGGGGGCGGCGGGAGGCCGCGAGGUGACGGGAGGGAACAUGGUGGCGCCGGGGGCGGCAGGGUGGGAGCCCCCGCGGCUCCCUGCCGCCGCGGCCCGGCCCAUGGGGACGCCGCGGUCCCGCGUCAGGGCCGCCUGCGGCGUGAGCAGGCAGAGCCGGGGCGGCUCGCGUGUGGGCAGGGGGGGCGCAGGCGGCGGUGCUUCAUCCGGCCGGCUGCGAGGCGGCAGCUGCCUGAAUCAUGCGGCUGGUUCUGGGGCGUUAAAAGUGGAAAAUUUCCAGUCGGCUGAAGGCCUAUUUGGGGAGCAGCCGUGCGAGCGAGGCAGGGUGCUCCUCAAAACACGGCGCGGUGGUGGGCUGCAGCUCGUAGCGCAGCCGUGAAAAACUGUCAAGACUCAUUUAAAGACUGGAGGUAGCCAUGGUCUGCCUGGGACUGUGUGCAUUAUAAGCAUGAAGCAUCACACUGAAAGGUUGCACCCAGGAAUAUCUGCCCAGAUUUUCCCGGAGUCCAUUGAUGCCAAGGAGAGACAACCACUAAUGCAAGCACUGACAGGAUGCAGGCGAUUGCAUUAUUUUAGCCAGAAGUAAAUGUGGCAUUGCUGGUGCUAAUCCAGGGCGUGCACUUUAACACAUCAUGUCACAGCAAUUGGCGGUAACCAGAAACCUUUGCUGAUUACACAGCAGGAGCCAGAAAAUGGAAGAAAAAAAAUUGAGAGCUGUAAAGGACUGCUGGCUCAGAGCUGCUGUUGCCAUAGAGCUGCUGCCGACGAAAAACUGCAGCAUGGAUUUCUUCUGCUGUUGAAGGUAAGAUGAGGGCACAGCAAAGACUGUAGGAGGGGGAAGGGAGGGGAGGCAAGGGGAGGGAGAAGAGGAAGAAAGUCUGUGUCCUUGCUGUCUAAAAAAGGAAAUCCAGUUUCAGUGUUCAUGAGCAGAACUGCUGGUGCAGAAGAACAAAGCUAUCGGUUGUUUAGAGUAGCAAGAGUGAUGAGCAAGCAAGCACACUGCCAUGCUUUCAGAAGGAAAUACUGCAAAGGAAGGAAGGAGAAGAAGAGCAACUUUAUCAUUUAGAAAAUAGCCACUGCUGCUUCAAGAUAGCUGCUUUUUGACACUACUUUGGCAUUAAUAUUGUUCUGCUGGGUAAAGACAGCUGUGAAAAACUAAAUAGGUAGAUAAGAAGAAAAAGUCAUGCUAAAAAUUUUCAGUGUAAUCCUGAGUAGAUGCAUUCUGUCUGUAUUAGAAUGUAUCAGUUGUUGCAUUCAGCUGUGUAGUACUGUGAAACUUCUAAAUGUGAUAACUAUAUUUACAGCAAGAUUAUUAUGAUAAAUUGAUCUUUGGAUGUGCUUUAAAGUGGAUGCAUUUUGUGUGAAAAUGUGUAACAAAUAACCGAAAGGUAAAUAUUAGAUACUCAAGAAUACUCAUACUUGUUCUUAUAAAUAUAGAACUGACAUCAGACUUGCUUUAGGAGCAAUCCUGUAAAUGGGGUGAGCUUUGUAGAGUAAGACUGUCUGUGAUCUUUGCAGAAUUAUCUGCAAAGUGGUCAUCCCAAAAGCUGCUGCUGCUGCUGACGACGUUCCUACAUCUGUUUAGCUUGCCUGUUACAUAUUGCAGCUUUUUGCUGUCCUUCCCUUGCUGGUUCUCUCUGUAUUUCAGCUCUUUCUGAGAUAAGCUGAACCCAUGUGCCCUGUGCAGCAAACCCAGCACGCCUGUGAUGUUUGCAUAAUGGGGCCUUGAAGAGAAUGAAAUUUUUAGAAGGUGUACUAAAUACAGUGAUAAUGGUGAUUGUCUUAGUUAUGUAAUGUCGAUAUUACGGACCAUCUGAUCACUGUAUUAUUGAGAGUGCUUGGGUAGAACAGCCCUUCCUUACAAUUUCUUAUACUGCGCUUUAUUGUGUGUUUGACCGUUUCUCCUCAGGUCGUGGUUUGAGGAUUGAGUCGGAGUGAAUUUUUCCUAUAGCAGCCUGUUAUCUUGAUCCGGAAUCUGCAAUUCAGGUUGCAAAUAAAUAAAAGUUUAUUAGGGAUUCUUGCUUUUGUUAGCAUUACAGUCUCUCCCUGAGAAAUUGCCAUUCUCUGAGAUUAUAACGCUUAGAUCAUUUAUGUUAUUUCUCAAUUGUGA